UCGGCCAUCCUACGGCGGAAACUCCUUAACUCGUUCCGAAUUAAGAAGAGAAGCGCCGUCAGGCCCCGCCAGUACUGCGAUCGGAGACGUCGUGGG
RNAcentral lists this ribosomal RNA (96 nucleotides) under Giardia duodenalis. The record is from RNAcentral. Lineage: Eukaryota; Fornicata; Diplomonadida; Hexamitidae.